Molecule: transfer RNA, 86 nt
Filed under: compost metagenome
Description: tRNA-Thr
Source: RNAcentral
GAUCGAUUUGGCGAAGCGGGUCGCGGUGCCGUGGUACAGCGUGGCCGGCGGCGGCAGCGGCGCCAGUUCCAGGUCGACCUCGAUCG